Molecule: ribosomal RNA, 497 nt
Filed under: uncultured bacterium
Lineage: Bacteria
Description: partial 16S ribosomal RNA
Rfam family: Bacterial small subunit ribosomal RNA
Source: RNAcentral
GAUGAACGCUGGCGGUGUGCCUAAUACAUGCAAGUCGAGCGAACAGACGAGGAGCUUGCUCCUCUGACGUUAGCGGCGGACGGGUGAGUAACACGUGGAUAACCUACCUAUAAGACUGGGAUAACUUCGGGAAACCGGAGCUAAUACCGGAUAAUAUAUUGAACCGCAUGGUUCAAUAGUGAAAGACGGUUUUGCUGUCACUUAUAGAUGGAUCCGCGCCGCAUUAGCUAGUUGGUAAGGUAACGGCUUACCAAGGCAACGAUGCGUAGCCGACCUGAGAGGGUGAUCGGCCACACUGGAACUGAGACACGGUCCAGACUCCUACGGGAGGCAGCAGUAGGGAAUCUGCCGCAAUGGGCGAAAGCCUGACGGAGCAACGCCGCGUGAGUGAUGAAGGUCUUCGGAUCGUAAAACUCUGUUAUUAGGGAAGAGCAAAUGUGUAAGUAACUAUGCACGUCUUGACGGUACCUAAUCAGAAAGCCACGGCUAACUACGUG